AGCUUUCAAAGGAGAUAUCAGAGCUCAAAAAAGUGGAAGGAGCUUCAAGAAAACUGGAAUCUUUAUCUACCAUGAAGGCUGUUGCGAAGAACGAUGAAGAUAGCCAACAAAUAACAGAACCAAC
Molecule: non-coding RNA, 124 nt
Filed under: Heterosigma akashiwo
Lineage: Eukaryota; Raphidophyceae; Chattonellales; Chattonellaceae
Source: RNAcentral